CCUACGGGAGGCAGCAGUGGGGAAUCUUGCACAAUGGGGGAAACCCUGAUGCAGCGACGCCGCGUGAGCGAUGAAGCCCUUCGGGGUGUAAAGCUCUUUCGACGGGGACGAUGGUGACGGUACCCGGAGAAGAAGCUGCGGCUAGCUACGUGCCAGCAGCCGCGGUAAUACGUAGGCAGCGAGCGUUGUUCGGAGUUACUGGGCGUAAAGAGUAUGUAGGCGGCCUUUCAAGUCUGGUGUGAAAUCUCCCGGCUCAACUGGGAGGGAGCGCCGGAAACUGGGGGGCUGGAGCGUGGGAGAGGAAAGCGGAAUUCCGGGUGUAGCGGUAAAAUGCGUAGAUAUCAGGAGGAACACCCGUGGCGAAGGCGGCUUCCUGGCCAUGGCCUGACGCUGAGGUGCGAAAGCAGGGGGAGCGAACGGGAUUAGAUACCCCGGUAGU
RNAcentral lists this ribosomal RNA (439 nucleotides) under uncultured Bryobacterales bacterium. RNAcentral's name for it is "partial 16S ribosomal RNA". It matches the Rfam family "Bacterial small subunit ribosomal RNA", at positions 338 to 794 of the family's 1533-position model. The record is from RNAcentral. Lineage: Bacteria; Pseudomonadati; Acidobacteriota; Terriglobia; Bryobacterales.